This is a small nuclear RNA of Nannospalax galili (Upper Galilee mountains blind mole rat), 104 nucleotides long. The record is from Ensembl. Lineage: Eukaryota; Metazoa; Chordata; Mammalia; Rodentia; Spalacidae.
GUGCUCACUUCGGCAGCACAUGUACUGAAAUUGGAAUGAUACAGAGAUUAGCAUGGUCCCUGAGCAAGGAUGGCACGCAAUUUUGUGAAGCAUUCUAUAUUAAA